RNAcentral lists this ribosomal RNA (429 nucleotides) under Bacteroidota bacterium. Its description in RNAcentral is "Bacteroidetes bacterium partial 16S ribosomal RNA". It matches the Rfam family "Bacterial small subunit ribosomal RNA", at positions 355 to 776 of the family's 1533-position model. Lineage: Bacteria; Pseudomonadati; Bacteroidota. The record is from RNAcentral.
UAGGGAAUCUUCGGCAACGGGGGGAACCCUGACCGAGCAACGCCGCGUGAGUGAAGAAGGUGUUCGGAUCGUAAAGAUCUGUUGUUAAGGAAGAAGGAGUGUGAGAAUGGAAAGUUCAUGCUGUGACGGUACUUAACCAGAAAGGGACGGCUAACUACGUGCCAGCAGCCGCGGUAAUACGUAGGUCCCGAGCGUUGUCCGGAUUUAUUGGGCGUAAAGCGAGCGCCGGCGGUUAGAAAAGUCUGAAGUGAAAGGCAGUGGCUCAAACAAUGUAGGCUUUUGAAGCUGUUUAACUUGAGUGCAGAAGGGAAGGGUAGAAUUCCAGGUGUAGCGGUGAAAUGCGUAGAUAUGAGGAAGAACACCGGUGGCGAAAGCGGCUCUCUGGUCUGUAGCUGACGCUGAGGCUCGAAAGCGUGGGGAGCCAACAGG